CGCGCAGGUGGUUUCUUAAGUCUGAUGUGAAAGCCCACGGCUCAACCGUGGAGGGUCAUUGGAAACUGGGAGACUUGAGUGCAGAAGAGGAAAGUGGAAUUCCAUGUGUAGCGGUGAAAUGCGUAGAGAUAUGGAGGAACACCAGUGGCGAAGGCGACUUUCUGGUCUGUAACUGACACUGAGGCGCGAAAGCGUGGGGAGCAAACAGGAUUAGAUACCCUGGUAGUCCACGCCGUAAACGAUGAGUGCUAAGUGUUAGAGGGUUUCCGCCCUUUAGUGCUGAAGUUAACGCAUUAAGCACUCCGCCUGGGGAGUACGGCCGCAAGGCUGAAACUUAAAAAUUGACGG
This 348-nucleotide ribosomal RNA is filed under the name uncultured Bacillus sp. RNAcentral describes it as "bacterial SSU rRNA". It matches the Rfam family "Bacterial small subunit ribosomal RNA", at positions 568 to 916 of the family's 1533-position model. Lineage: Bacteria; Bacillati; Bacillota; Bacilli; Caryophanales; Bacillaceae. The record is from RNAcentral.